Molecule: ribosomal RNA, 493 nt
Filed under: uncultured bacterium
Lineage: Bacteria
Description: bacterial SSU rRNA
Rfam family: Bacterial small subunit ribosomal RNA
Source: RNAcentral
UGCAAGUCGUGCGAGAAGUCGACUUCGGUCGAUGAGUAGAGCGGCGAACGGGUGAGUAACACGUGGAUAACCUGCCUAGGAGCGGGGGAUAACCUGGGGAAACUCGGGCUAAUACCGCAUACGUUCUCAGCGUCAUGGCGCUGAGGGGAAAGCUGGCCAAUUCUUGAAAGCUAGCACUCCUAGAGGGGUCCGCGCUCGAUUAGCUUGUUGGUGGGGUAAUGGCCUACCAAGGCUGCGAUCGAUAGCCGGCCUGAGAGGGCGAUCGGCCACACUGGGACUGAGACACGGCCCAGACUCCUACGGGAGGCAGCAGUGGGGAAUAUUGGACAAUGGGCGCAAGCCUGAUCCAGCAACGCCGCGUGGAGGACGAAGGCCUUCGGGUCGUAAACUCCUGUCAGUUGGGACGAAAAGCCGUCGAUUAAUAGUCGGCGGUCCUGACGGUACCAGCAGAGGAAGCCCCGGCUAACUCCGUGCCAGCAGCCGCGGUAAUACG